Molecule: long non-coding RNA, 828 nt
Filed under: Gallus gallus (chicken)
Lineage: Eukaryota; Metazoa; Chordata; Aves; Galliformes; Phasianidae
Description: lncRNA (ENSGALG00010007477.1)
Source: RNAcentral
UGAAACAUUUGUCUUUUGUUAUUUCUGAAAGAAUUUAGGACAACAGGAAACUGUAUGCUCCUAGAGUUGUCCUUCAGUCAUAAAAUGAAGGUCUGGACCAAUUGCCUGUUCGGUGGCAUUCUUAGAAGACAAGGUAUGCUCAACUCUUUCUUUCAGGACAAAGGAGACUCCCGGCAUUAUUCCUGCUAUUUUAAUUUAGUGAAGUGCAACCUAGUUUCUUGACAUGAACUAUAACAAUGUUAUUGUGUUCUACAUUACAGAGAGUAAUUUAUUAUUUGGACUUAAUUGCAAAAAUGCUUAUAUUUAAGGCGUGUCAGAAGAUACACAUUUUCAAAUGAGAGAGGCUACAGUGUAGCAUCAGUGGUUCUUAUUGGUGAAAUAAUAGCAUUCAUCUUGCACACUUCUGGAGUUCCUGUUAAGAUUUUCAAACUAUAGGUGGAAUUUCACUCAAGUGACCAGUCAUAUCCAAUUUAUCCAGGGAAAUCUCUGAUAACAGACAGAAAGCAGAAACAUGUGUUGCCCUUGAAGUCACAUACAGGUUAACCACUCCCUUUUUUCUGCCCAAGUCUGUGUGUCCAGGAUCCUCUUAGCUGCCCAGGUAGGGUGUGCUUCUUCCCUUCCCAUUGGGACAACAGUACUAGGGGAUGAUGGGGACCAGGGUGACAUAGGGUGUCUCAGACGUCGUUACACAAAUACAGGGACAGAAGCAUGAGCCUGACAAUGCAGCACUUCUCACAACCUGCUACAGUGGUUAUUUGGUUGUUCAACAUAGUCCUGUUUUGGUCAGAAGUGCAGAGUGCACACCUGUGUUGUAAGGGAUCUUAAGUU